This 440-nucleotide ribosomal RNA is filed under the name uncultured bacterium. RNAcentral's name for it is "partial 16S ribosomal RNA". It matches the Rfam family "Bacterial small subunit ribosomal RNA", at positions 338 to 795 of the family's 1533-position model. The record is from RNAcentral.
ACUACGGGAGGCUGCAGUGGGGAAUAUUGCACAAUGGGGGGAACCCUGAUGCAGCGACGCCGCGUGAGCGAAGAAGUAUUUCGGUAUGUAAAGCUCUAUCAGCAGGGAAGAAAAUGACGGUACCUGACUAAGAAGCCCCGGCUAACUACGUGCCAGCAGCCGCGGUAAUACGUAGGGGGCAAGCGUUAUCCGGAUUUACUGGGUGGAAAGGGAGCGCAGACGGCUGUGCAAGUCUGGAGUGAAAGGCGGGGGCCCAACCCCCGGACUGCUCUGGAAACUGUAAAGCUGGAGUGCAGGAGAGGUAAGCGGAAGUCCUAGUGUAGCGGUGAAAUGCGUAGAUAUUAGGAGGAACACCAGUGGCGAAGGCGGCUUACUGGACUGCAACUGACGUUGAGGCUCGAAAGCGUGGGGAGCAAACAGGAUUAGAUACCCUGGUAGUC